AUUGAACGCUGGCGGCAGGCCUAACACAUGCAAGUCGAGCGGAUGAAGGGAGCUUGCUCCUGGAUUCAGCGGCGGACGGGUGAGUAAUGCCUAGGAAUCUGCCUGGUAGUGGGGGAUAACGUCCGGAAACGGGCGCUAAUACCGCAUACGUCCUGAGGGAGAAAGUGGGGGAUCUUCGGACCUCACGCUAUCAGAUGAGCCUAGGUCGGAUUAGCUAGUUGGUGGGGUAAAGGCCUACCAAGGCGACGAUCCGUAACUGGUCUGAGAGGAUGAUCAGUCACACUGGAACUGAGACACGGUCCAGACUCCUACGGGAGGCAGCAGUGGGGAAUAUUGGACAAUGGGCGAAAGCCUGAUCCAGCCAUGCCACGUGUGUGAAGAAGGUCUUCGGAUUGUAGAGCACUUUAAGUUGGGAGGAAGGGCAGUAAGUUAAUACCUUGCUGUUUUGACGUUACCAACAGAAUAAGCACCGGCUAACUUCGUG
Molecule: ribosomal RNA, 484 nt
Filed under: uncultured bacterium
Lineage: Bacteria
Description: partial 16S ribosomal RNA
Rfam family: Bacterial small subunit ribosomal RNA
Source: RNAcentral